UCGACAUCCUCAGAAAAAGAUGAGAUCGACUUUUUGAGCAACGUCGACAUUUCCAGGGAGAAAUGAGAUCGACUCGUUGUCAAAAAUCCGACAUCUUCAGAAAAGGAUCGGCAGUCAUCGACAUCCUCAGAAAAAGAUGAGAUCGACUUUUUGAGCAACGUCGACAUUUCCAGGGAGAAAUGAGAUCGACUCGUUGUCAAAAAUCCGACAUCUUCAGAAAAGGAUCGGUAGUCAUCGACAUCCUCAGAAAAAGAUGAGAUCGACUUUUUGAGUAACAUCGACAUUUCCAGGGAGAAAUGAAAUCGACUUGUUGUCAAAAAUCCGAUAUCUUCAGAAAAGGAUCGGCAGACACAUCGACAUCCUCAGAAAAAGAUGAGAUCGACUUUUUGAGCAACGUCGACAUUUCCAGGGAGAAAUGAGAUCGACUCGUUGUCAAAAAUCCGACAUCUUCAGAAAUCGACAAAAGAAUAUGGUAUUGACCAAAAGAAAGCAUCGGUUACACUAACGUACUUCAGAGUAAAGGUGUAAGUCGAAUAAAGGAAAAGGUAAAAAGUAUAUUUAUUCAAAAUUAC
RNAcentral lists this long non-coding RNA (572 nucleotides) under Zostera marina. Its description in RNAcentral is "long non-coding RNA (ZMAR_LNC003208)". The record is from RNAcentral. Lineage: Eukaryota; Viridiplantae; Streptophyta; Magnoliopsida; Alismatales; Zosteraceae.